CCUACGGGAGGCAGCAGUAAGGAAUAUUGGACAAUGGGCGCAAGCCUGAUUCAGCCAUGCCGCGUGUGUGAAGAAGGCCUUAUGGUUGUAAAGCCCUUUUGUUGGGAAAGAAAUCCAGCCGGCUAAUACCUGGUUGGGAUGACGGUACCCAAAGAAUAAGCACCGGCUAACUUCGUGCCAGCAGCCGCGGUAAU
This 194-nucleotide ribosomal RNA is filed under the name uncultured bacterium. Its description in RNAcentral is "partial 16S ribosomal RNA". It matches the Rfam family "Bacterial small subunit ribosomal RNA", at positions 338 to 524 of the family's 1533-position model. The record is from RNAcentral.